This 371-nucleotide ribosomal RNA is filed under the name Trichomalus sp. Tr3. RNAcentral describes it as "partial large subunit ribosomal RNA". The record is from RNAcentral. Lineage: Eukaryota; Metazoa; Arthropoda; Insecta; Hymenoptera; Pteromalidae.
AGAUCGAAUGGGGAGAUUCAUCGUCAGCGGCGUUGGCUUCCGUGUGGAUCGCGAUGGCCGGGACCUCGGUUCCGCGUCACGCGUCCGCUGCGGUAUGUCCGACGUCGUCGGCGUGCACUUCUCCCCUAGUAGGACGUCGCGACCCGUUGGGUGCCGGCCUACGGCCCGGUUGGUCGACUGUCGCGUCGCGUUUACGCGUGCACGCGGCAGACCACCGGUCGCCCGGCCGGCUGCCCGGCGGUAUAGAUCGCUAUAAAACGGUAUUGGGCCGCAUUAAGUGCGUUCUGGCUCGUCGGCAGGCUCGUCUCGCUCGGAUUUACGGACCUAGUGCCGUUGCCGGGCGCUUGGCGUGGCCGUUAGUCGACGAUGUC